This 2656-nucleotide ribosomal RNA is filed under the name Veillonella parvula. RNAcentral's name for it is "partial 23S ribosomal RNA". It matches the Rfam family "Bacterial large subunit ribosomal RNA", at positions 1 to 2532 of the family's 2925-position model. Lineage: Bacteria; Bacillati; Bacillota; Negativicutes; Veillonellales; Veillonellaceae. The record is from RNAcentral.
AGUCAAGAAAGCAAGGGCACAAGGUGGAUGCCUUGGCACAUGAAGGCGAGAAAGGACGUAAGUGAACGAAAACUAGGGUAAGCUCACAAAAAGCAUUGACCCCUAGGUCUCCGAAUGGGGCAACCCGGUUGUGGAAGACACAAUCAUUACUAAGUGAAUACAUAGCUUAGUAAGGCGAUACCCUGCGAACUGAAACAUCUAAGUAGCAGGAGGAAAAGAAAGAAACAUCGAUUUUCUAAGUAGCGGCGAGCGAAAGGAAAAGAGCCUAACUCAUUAGCGAUUUGUUAAAGUUAGUCAAAUUAUCUGAAAAGAUAAACCAAAGAAAGUGAAAGUCUUGUAGACGAAAACAUUAAUAAACGAGAGGGAAAGUAUCACCGGGCACGAGUAACCCGGUGUGAAGAUAGGGGGCCCAUCCCCUAAGGCUAAAUACUAACAUGUGACCGAUAGUGAACAAGUACCGUGAGGGAAAGGUGAAAAGAACCCCGAAAGGGGAGUGAAAUAGAACCUGAAACCUAGUGCCUACAAGCAGACAGAGCGUGAGCGAACGUGAUGUCGUACCUUUUGUAGAAUGGGCCAGCGAGUUAUUCUAAAUUGCAAGGUUAAUGAUUUAAGAUCAGAAGCCGCAGCGAAAGCGAGUCUUAAUAGGGCGAAAGUAAGUUAGAAUAGACCCGAAACCGGGUGAUCUAUCCAUGGUCAGAGUGAAGUUGAAGUAAAAUUCAAUGGAGGCUCGAACCGGGUGCGGUUUAAAACGCAUCGGAUGAACUGUGGAUAGGGGCGAAAAACCAAACGAACCCGGAGAUAGCUGGUUCUCCUCGAAAUAGCUUUAGGGCUAGCCUCUGACCUAAGAUUUUAGGAGGUAGAGCACUGAAUGGUCUAGGGCGGAGAUCCGUACCAAAACCUAUCAAACUCCGAAUGCCAAAAAAUCAAGUCAGGGAGUCAGACUUAGGGGGAUAAGCUUCUAAGUCGAAAGGGAAACAGCCCAGACCGACAGCUAAGGUCCCAAAAUUUGAAUUAAGUGGAAAAGGAUGUGAAUCUACUAAGACAACCAGGACGUUGGCUUAGAAGCAGCCAUGCAUUUAAAGAAUGCGUAAUAGCUCACUGGUCAAGUGGGUUUGCGCCGAAAAUGAACGGGGCUCAAAUUCAAUACCGAAGCUUCGGAUUAAUAGAGGGAUUAAGUUUACAAAUGAGACUAGGAAAUAUUUAACAAAAACAGAAGAGAUUAAGAAAAUACAAAUUUCAGACGCAGACAUAAAAGAUAGGAUAUUAAAAAAGAAAAAUAUUCAAAAAACACAAGUCUAAAGUCAAAAGUGAGUAACAUAAGAAAUUAUGAACUAACAAUCACUGGUUAGAGUUAAAAAACUAGGACUCAUAGCUAAACUUAAUACCUCUAUUAGUGGUAGAGGAGCAUUGUAUUAGAGACGAAGCCAAGGCGAAAGCAAAAGUGGAUCUAAUACAAGAGAGAAUGCUGGCAUGAGUAGCGAGAAGGGAUGUGAGAAUCAUCCCCGUCGAAACCCUAAGGACUCCUGAGCAAGGCUCGUCCCCUCAGGGAAAGUCGGGACCUAAGCCAAGGCCGAAAGGCGUAGGCGAUGGAUAACAGGUUUAUAUUCCUGUACCGCUUGAAGUCGUUAAGAGAGAAGUGAUGACGCAAAAGGAUAAGCAAAGCCAUCAGAUGGAAAAGAUGGUCUAAAGCCGUAGGAAGAAAAGUAGGCAAAUCCGCUUUUCACAAAUUCUAAAAGCCGAUAGGUAUCGAAAACAUAAGUAGAGAAGUUGCCGAUUCCAAGUUGCCAAGAAAAGUCACUAUCCAGACCAAAGCGCCCGUACCAAAACCGACACAGGUAGGGAGGUAGAGAAUACCAAGACGCGCGGAAGAACCUUUGUUAAGGAACUCGGCAAAAUGUCCCCGUAACUUCGGGAGAAGGGGAGCCAUAGCAAUAUGGCCACAGAAACCAGGCCCAAGCGACUGUUUACCAAAAACACAAGUUUCUGCAAAAUCGCAAGAUGAAGUAUAGGAGCUGACACCUGCCCGGUGCUGGAAGGUUAAGGGGAAGGCUUAGAGCAAUCGAAGGCUAGAACUUAAGGUAGCGAAAUUCCUUGUCGGGUAAGUUCCGACCCGCACGAAAGGUGUAACGAUUUGGGCACUGUCUCAACAAAGGAUCCGGUGAAAUUGUAGUAGUCGUGAAGAUGCGACUUACCCACGCUAGGACGGAAAGACCCCGUGGAGCUUUACUGUAGGCUGAUAUUGGAUUUUGAGAUUAAAUGUACAGGAUAGUUGGGAGACUGAGAUAUCUGGAUGCCAAUCUAGGAGGAGUCACUGGUGGGAUACCAACCUUUUAAUAUCAAAGUUCUAACCAUAGCCCUUGAAUCAGGGCAUGGGACAUUGUCAGUUGGGCAGUUUGACUGGGGCGGUCGCCUCCUAAAAAGUAACGGAGGCGUUCAAAGGUUCGCUCAGAAUGGACGGAAACCAUUCGCAGAGUAUAAAGGCAGAAGCGAGCUUAACUGCGAGAGCUACAACUCAAGCAGAGUCGAAAGACGGACUUAGUGAUCCGGUGGUACCGCAUGGAAGGGCCAUCGCUCAACGGAUAAAAGCUACCCCGGGGAUAACAGGCUUAUCUCCCCCAAGAGUCCACAUCGACGGGGAGGUUUGGCACCUCGAUGU